Podarcis lilfordi (Lilford's wall lizard) is the source of this 72-nucleotide non-coding RNA. NCBI's taxonomy places the organism in Eukaryota, Metazoa, Chordata, Lepidosauria, Squamata, Lacertidae. The record is from the annotation of a GenBank genome assembly.
GGAGUUGGAAUCCAGUGGCAGAACAUCUGGUUUGCUUGCAGAAGGUCUCAGGUUCAAUCCCUGGCAUCUCCC